RNAcentral lists this ribosomal RNA (176 nucleotides) under uncultured bacterium. RNAcentral's name for it is "partial 16S ribosomal RNA". It matches the Rfam family "Bacterial small subunit ribosomal RNA", at positions 336 to 526 of the family's 1533-position model. The record is from RNAcentral.
CUCCUACGGGAGGCAGCAAUUAGGAAUCUUGCGCAAUGGGCGAAAGCCUGACGCAGCGACGCCGCGUGGAGGAGGAAGGCCUUCGGGUUGUAAACUCCUUUUAGGUGGGAAGAAACAAAUGACGGUACCACCAGAAUAAGCCCCGGCUAACUCCGUGCCAGCAGCCGCGGUAAUUC